UACGUAGGGGGCAAGCGUUGUCCGGAAUCAUUGGGCGUAAAGCGCGCGUAGGCGGCCCGGUAAGUCCGUUGUGAAAGUCAAAGGCUCAACCUUUGAACGCCGAUGGAUACUGCCGGGCUAGAGUCCGGAAGAGGCGAGUGGAAUUCCUGGUGUAGCGGUGGAAUGCGUAGAUAUCGGGAGGAACACCAGUGGCGAAGGCGACUUCCUGGCCUGUUCUUGACGCUGAGGCGCGAAAGCUAGGGGAGCAAACGGG
This 253-nucleotide ribosomal RNA is filed under the name uncultured bacterium. Its description in RNAcentral is "partial 16S ribosomal RNA". It matches the Rfam family "Bacterial small subunit ribosomal RNA", at positions 524 to 776 of the family's 1533-position model. The record is from RNAcentral.